CGUGGACAGGCGAUCGCGCGGCCUUGGGCUCCGGCAACGGCGUCUCGGGCCGUGAGGAAAGUCCGAACACGGUUGGACACGGUGGUGGGUAACGCCCACCGGGCUCGUUGGGCCUAGGGACAGUGCCACAGAGAAAAGACCGCCUACGUCAGGCUCCGGUUCGCCGGUGGCUUGGCCGGCAAGGGUGAAACGGUGCGGUAAGAGCGCACCGCCCUGACGGCGACGUCAGGGGCACGGCAAACCCCACCGCGUGCAAGCGCAAACAGUCUUCCGGUUCCGGGUGCCUUGACGCCCGAACCCUCGACGGUCCGUCGAGCGUGGGGACGGGUAGCGUGCUUGAGGCGCUCGGCGACGGGCGUCCCAGAGAAAUGAUCGCCGCCCCCAUCCAGCAAUGGGCGGGGGAACAGAAUUCGGCUUACGUCCACGCAAC
Molecule: RNase P RNA, 430 nt
Filed under: Phycisphaerae bacterium
Lineage: Bacteria; Pseudomonadati; Planctomycetota; Phycisphaerae
Description: RNase P RNA component class A
Rfam family: Bacterial RNase P class A
About the family: Ribonuclease P (RNase P) is a ubiquitous endoribonuclease, found in archaea, bacteria and eukarya as well as chloroplasts and mitochondria. Its best characterised activity is the generation of mature 5'-ends of tRNAs by cleaving the 5'-leader elements of precursor-tRNAs.
Source: RNAcentral